UACGGAGGAUCCAAGCGUUAUCCGGAAUCAUUGGGUUUAAAGGGUCCGUAGGCGGUUUUGUAAGUCCGUGGUGAAAGCCCAUCGCUCAACGGUGGAACGGCCAUUGAUACUGCAAGACUUGAAUUACUAGGAAGUAACUAGAAUAUGUAGUGUAGCGGUGAAAUGCUUAGAUAUUACAUGGAAUACCAAUUGCGAAGGCAGGUUACUACUAGUGGAUUGACGCUGAUGGACGAAAGCGUGGGGAGCGAACAGG
This 253-nucleotide ribosomal RNA is filed under the name uncultured bacterium. RNAcentral's name for it is "partial 16S ribosomal RNA". It matches the Rfam family "Bacterial small subunit ribosomal RNA", at positions 524 to 776 of the family's 1533-position model. The record is from RNAcentral.